UAGUUUGAUGAAUUCAUUCGA
Molecule: non-coding RNA, 21 nt
Filed under: Caenorhabditis elegans
Lineage: Eukaryota; Metazoa; Nematoda; Chromadorea; Rhabditida; Rhabditidae
Source: RNAcentral